GAUGAACGCUAGCUACAGGCUUAACACAUGCAAGUCGAGGGGAAACGGCAUCGAAAGCUUGCUUUUGAUGGGCGUCGACCGGCGCACGGGCGAGUAACGCGUAUCCAACCUUCCCAUCACUUGGGAAUAACCUUGCGCAAGUAAGACUAAUGCCCAAUGACAUCCCACGAAGGCAUCCGAAUGGGAUUAAAGAUUUAUCGGUGAUGGAUGGGGAUGCGUCUGAUUAGCUUGUUGGCGGGGUGACGGCCCACCAAGGCAACGAUCAGUAGGGGGUCUGAGAGGAAGGGCCCCCACAGUGGAACCGAGACACGGUCCAAACUCCUACGGGACGCAGCAGUGAGGAAGAUUGGUGAAUGGACGAGAGCCUGAACCAGCCAAGUAGCGUGCAGGAUGACGGCCCUAGGGGUUGUAAACUGCGGUUAUAAGGGAAUAAAGGGCGUCACGUGUGACUUUGUGCAGGUACCUUAUGAAUAAGGACCGGCUAAUUACGUG
Molecule: ribosomal RNA, 492 nt
Filed under: uncultured bacterium
Lineage: Bacteria
Description: partial 16S ribosomal RNA
Rfam family: Bacterial small subunit ribosomal RNA
Source: RNAcentral